UGUUCAAACUUUGUAAACAAGUCUUUUCUUAUUAUUAUUAAUUUUUUUUUUUUUUUUUUUUUUUUUUUUUUUUUUUAAGAAACAGUCUACAUAUAAUUCAUUUUGAAUUUGACCCAUAAAGGUUAAGCGAAAAACCUCCACUGUGCAUGCUUGAAUUCUUUUUGAAGUGGGGAAAAUAGCUAACAGUGUUAUGAAUGUAAUGAAUCAGAGCUCAGAGUCAGUAAAAUGAAAGUUUUAGUGGAGGUAUGAACGAACCACUUUUUUAACUCUUUUUGCUGUUGUUGUUGUUUAAUGCUGUUAAGGCAGGUCAGCAAGAUGGAUUUAAAGUGACUCUGAACUUAUAAAACAGGGUUGUUGUUUUUAUAUAUAUAUAUAUAUAUAUAUAUAUAUAUAUAUAUAUAUAUAUAUAUAUAUAUAUAUAUAUAUAUAUAUAUAUAUAAAUAAUUAAACCCAGUUUUUUCCUUCUUUUAAGAAAUGGGUAAUUAAAGUCUGGAAAAUCCACGUUAGGACUGAACAUGACCAGCAAGUAUUCUGAUAUGCAAAUACUGGCCAUGCAACACUGGCUCACCAGGAAGAUCGGUCACAUGUAGGGUCGCUGGCAACUACAGUUCGAGUAUUCAUAGACUCUUGUUUUAAGGCAUGUUUCCAUUUGUUUUACUGUUGUCUAAUGACUGUUUGGCUAUAAGUAAUCACAGUAAGAAAAAAAAAAAAAAUCAUGUUUUUUCUAAAGGCGUUUAGUGUACGGAUGGAACCAGUAGAUGGUGUCAUUUCUUAAUACAUUUCAGAAAAGGUUUGAGGGUAUACACAUAGCUGACUGUUUCUGUCUGACUAAAGAUAAAGUUUGCAUUUUUUAUUUUGUUUUACGUGUAUAUAUAUUAUAAAUUGAGCUGGCCUUUUAAUAAAUAAAUAAAAGCGGCAGUACCUACCUUCUAUUAGAUCGAGAGGUUAGUUCUUGAAGGCAGCUCACAUAAUAUUUUGUAAUGAUGGUUGGGCCGUGCACUACUCCCCAGACCUCACCCCCACCCCCACCCCCACCCCCACGCAAUAACACACACACACACAAUUGCAAUGGAUAUAAACUGGGACAUGUUCUAGUAUUGAAAUGACUGACUAUCAACUGGUGUCUUAUCAAAAAAAAGUUACAUAUUGCAGCUUUAAUAUUUCAUGGCUGCAUACGGUAUAUUUUAUUUGUUAUAUUUUAUUAUAUAUUUUAUUGUGUGUGUGUGUAACCUUGAGGCUGAUGUUCAAUAGUCUCUGUUUUGUUUCUGUGUCAUUUAUUCGUUCCUUUUAAACACCAUACAUCCCAUGAAGUCUGAGAUCAUUUGUACAUGUCGGACACCAAAACCAUUCACGAAACAUCUGUGUCCGUAGAGACGCAUAGCAGACUGUUUCUGUUGCAUGUCAGUUUAUUAAGAGGAGUAGAAUAUGUUUUUUUGGGUGUUUUUUUUUUUUUUUUUUUUUUUUAAUUAAAAAAAGGUAAACCAUGCAGGUCUAAAUAAGUAUUAUGAUUUGUGACUCUGUUGCUUCUUCUCAUUACUGCCAUUUGUUUGUUUGUUUGUUUGUUUGUUUGUUUGGGGGUCAGUUCUUAAAGUCAAUCUCCUUUAGCGCAGGCGCAUAAAAGUUGUUUUGCACUUGUUGUAUUAUCCAUGUGAUAAUGAGUGACCUGACAUUUCAGUACUACGUUUUUUGGUUUUGUGUGUGUCUUUUUUUUUUUUUUUUUUUUUGCCCCCCGUUUCAUUUUGAGGUAUUGAUUGUGCUUCUUAACCUGGUGAAUUAUAUUUUUCCCUUUGUAAAUGUUGCAUUUUGCUGUAUGUUCGCCAUGUUUGUCUCCUAACUACUUUUAUUUAAAUGUCAUACUUUACAGAUGCAGUGUCUACAUUUAAGCAGUCCCUCCAGGAUUUCUCCGCCAUUUUUCAGAAUUACCGCCGAUUUUCCGCAGAUUUGGGCCAAGACGCGUCAUGUGACAUCAUCACAACGCGCAUUCAGUCAAAGCCCUCUUCGAUUCACGUGCAUCGAACAAGAGUAUGGCUGAAAGGUCUCAUUUACCAACAAACGUCACUGCGAAAGACCGUGCAAAACAAUUUCAUGCUACUGCAGUUUCACCAAUUCAAGUAGUUUUCCACAACAAAAGCACAGAAAACUCCACAAGUUGCAUCUCGAAUUUUGAAAAAAGUCACAGCAAAAUCAAGCAUUUUUGGUCACAACAAUCACAAAAAAAAACUCAGAAAUCCUGUACGGACUGUUUUAAGGUGCGUGACAAAUGAAGCAUCGACAUAUGUCGUGGUUAGGUGUUGUGCCACCACGAGCUUCCAGACCAGCUUAAUGCGCCUCGGCACAGAUUCUACAUACCGAUGAACACCAUUUUCCAAAAUACGUUCCAUGUUGCUUCGAUAUCUCCCAUAUUGAAUUGGUCUGUUGAAUGCAGAGGCCAUUACAUCAUUUUCAUACUCCUCAAACUGUUCAGUGAGCUCCUGUGGAUGUGGGAGAAGUCAUCCUAAGACUCCCAUCAGGAUGGAAAUGUUUCAUUGUAGGAUCAAGACGUUCAGUCAGAACACUUUUGCAUUUACUUGCAGUAAACUUUCUCUGUAAGGGAGCAACUGGAUACAAACCAUACCAGCAAAAUCUAUAAAUGGCCCUCAGCAUAACAGAACCACGGUUUCUCUUUUCAUAUGUCACCCAUCUGUAAACUGUUCAACAUCAUAAGCUCUGCUUUGCUCUGAAUAGGAGGUCUGCCAGAAGUUUGGAUUUCAUUGGUAGACAAAUACAUCAUCUAGGAGUAGGGAAAACAUUAGAUAAAAGCGGGCAGUGGGUCUCUGGGACUAGGGUCGAGAACCACUGACAUAAUCCCUUUGUCUGACUGCGUUAUUACAGACGCCCCUUCAUAUGCCAGAGUUGUCUUAAAUGUACUAAGGAAAAUGCCAAGGUCCCCAAACAAAUCUUAAUAUAUUUGUCUCCACCUUUUCUUCUGGUUCUUCUCUUUAACCAUCAGUAUGCACAUGUUUCUUGCAUUUGCUCUGUUUGUCCUGGAUGGAUCACCUCAUUAAUUUAUUGUAAUAAGGUAUCAAACAGGAUUUCUCUGCAUACAGUAUUUUCAGUAGCAUAUGUUUUCGAAUAAGCUGCAUAGAUAAUAGUCUCAGAGCCACUUGAAAUGUCAGAGAGGUAUUGAAGGAAGUCAUGUGGAGCCAUUUUGGCAAAUGAAUCAAAAUGGACCAUGUUUUAAAAUGAGCCGAUGACACGAAAUAACCUGAAAAUGUUUGUUGAAACUUGGUCAUAUAGCAUUAUAAAUAAAUUGUAACAUAUUCUUUUAAAUAAAGAAAUUUAAUGAG
This is a long non-coding RNA of Ictalurus punctatus (channel catfish), 3326 nucleotides long. Lineage: Eukaryota; Metazoa; Chordata; Actinopteri; Siluriformes; Ictaluridae. The record is from Ensembl.